UUUUCCAUUACUCUCAAGUCGCUACCGCAUCAAUAUUUUCCUUUCCCGUUUUAUUUCUCUUCCCUCCAUAAAGAAAAUAUCCUUUGGGGUUCCUCAGGUAUGAAUUCAUUCCACAACGCACUGCACCCCACAACUCAACUUCCUCUUCCAAUUUCACACCCUCUCACUUCAAUCCCACUCUCCCUUCGACAAACCCGAUUCCCACGCGCGACUCCAAAUGCUAGCAACCAUGUUCUUAUGCCAACCAUGUCGGACAUUCUAGAAGCAUCGCGAGCGCAGAAACUGGACCUCAACCUCAAAACUGUGGGACCCUUUUUCCGAAUCACGGCAAGGAGCUUGAUAACCGAGAAAGAGCUCGGAAGGGCCGAAGGGUUUAUAAGAUUGUGGGUGGGAGGAAGAAUCCUUCACUUGGACUCCAUCAAACUACGCAGAGAAACACUGGGCAUGGAGAAAUCAAUCUUUGGCCUUGGCUUGUUCAUCGGAGCCCUUGCAAUUCGACAUGGAUAUGAUUCUGGAUGCAAAACGGCUCAGCUAUUGGCCAUCAAUGAUUCCCAUCUUUACCAUUCUAAGUUGGUUCGGUUCUACACAAGACUUGGGUUUAAACCUGUGUACGAAGUUACUGGAUCAUCGGUUGGGGAUGUUCGCCACAUGCUUGUAUGGGGUGGUGUUGGUACUCGAAUGGAUGCCAGUGUUGAAGAACUGAUGAUAAAAUGGUGUACUAGAUUUAGAGCGACCCAUAAAUGAUUUCGUUCAGUCACACGAGUAAUUGAAUUAUAGCAAAGGCAACAACACAGGGCGAAAACAGGGAUGAAUGAAUAUAGAUAGGGGUACUAUUUGAUAAGUCCAACCCAUCCCUACUCAAUUUUACUUUAAAAAAAAUUUGUACAGAUUUUAAUUUUCUUAUAAGAAAAAAAUAUAAUUUUGUUAUUAAGUAUAAUUAUAUAUUUGUUUACUUUUAACUCCUUCUUUUGGUGCAAAAAAAGAACUCCUCCUUUAAAACAUUUUUUUGGCAUUUUCUGGUGAUUGAAUAUUCCUGUAAUGAUGCGUUUUGAUGUUGAGAUAUAUUAUUUUUCUUUGGCGCCUUUCAUUUCUAUUUCUAUGCGCAGCUUUCAUUUCUAUGAAUGGAAAUAUGAAACCACAAGCCUGAGUUUUCUUUUUAUCCAAUUUGAAUCUGUUGAAAAUUCAUAGUUUUCUGCUAUUUAGUCAUACAAUAGAUUUUCUUAAGGAUUUGCGCAUAUUGAGAAAUAGUCUGUUUGAUGGUUGGUUGUAUUACUUUCUACUAGUUAUUAGCUAAAUGUACAUUCAAAAUCCACAGUUUAUUGACAAGUUAAACGGAUA
This is an RNA transcript of Cajanus cajan (pigeon pea), 1338 nucleotides long. RefSeq lists it as uncharacterized. The record is from RefSeq and is a predicted model, not a curated record. NCBI's taxonomy places the organism in Eukaryota, Viridiplantae, Streptophyta, Magnoliopsida, Fabales, Fabaceae.